GUGUCAGCAGCCGCGGUAAUACGUAGGUGGCGAGCGUUAUCCGGAAUUACUGGGUGUAAAGGGCGUGUAGGCGGGGAUGCAAGUCAGAUGUGAAAUUCCGGGGCUCAACCUCGGCACUGCAUCUGAAACUGUGUCUCUUGAGUGCUGGAGAGGAAAGUGGAAUUCCUAGUGUAGCGGUGAAAUGCGUAGAGAUUAGGAGGAACACCAGUGGCGAAGGCGACUUCCUGGCCUGUAACUGACGCUGAGGCGCGAAAGCGUGGGGAGCAAACAGGAUUAGAUACCCUGGUAGUCCACGCUGUAAACGAUGGAUACUAGGUGUAGGAGGUAUCGACCCCUUCUGUGCCGGAGUUAACACAAUAAGUAUCCCACCUGGGGAGUACGGCCGCAAGGCUGAAACUUAAAGGAAUUGGCGG
RNAcentral lists this ribosomal RNA (413 nucleotides) under uncultured bacterium. Its description in RNAcentral is "bacterial SSU rRNA". It matches the Rfam family "Bacterial small subunit ribosomal RNA", at positions 505 to 916 of the family's 1533-position model. The record is from RNAcentral.